RNAcentral lists this long non-coding RNA (9814 nucleotides) under Sorghum bicolor (sorghum). Its description in RNAcentral is "long non-coding RNA (SBIC_LNC001918)". The record is from RNAcentral. Lineage: Eukaryota; Viridiplantae; Streptophyta; Magnoliopsida; Poales; Poaceae.
CUGUUUACUUCACCACCUAAAAAAAUUUUAUUCAUCACAUCAAAUUUUUGACACAUACAUGAAACAUUAAAUAUAAAUAAAAAAAUAAACUAAUUACACAGUUUGGUUAAAAAUCACGAGAUAAAUUUUUUAAGCCUUGUUAAUCCAUGAUUAGUCUUAAGUGUUACAUUAACCCAUAAAUGCUAAUAACAAAUUAAUUAUACUUAAUAGAUUUGUCUUGCAGUUUUCAAACGAACUAUGUAAUUUGUUUUGUUAUUAGUUUCUAAAAAUCCUCCCGACAUCCUUUCGACACAUCCAAUAUAACACUUAAAAAUUUUUUAUCUCCAAUCUAAACAGGCCGUUAGGCACACGUGGACCCAGGGCCACGGCCCGCGAGCCGGCCGCAUGGCAAGAGUUCACAUCUAGGCUCCAUUUAGUUUCCUUUGCUAAAUAAAUUAUUUUAGUUACUGUUAGGUGACUAAUAGAACUAAAUUAUUUUAGUUUUUUUAGUCAAUGUGUUUGGAACUUUAGCUACUAAAGUGACUAAAGUUUAGCUAGCUAAAAUUUAGCAAGGAGAACCAAACAGAGCCCUAUUCUAACCGCCGCUUGCUGUUAAUAAUAAAGUUGUUUAUUAUCAAAAAAAAAUGUUCAGUUCAGUGUGCAGUGAGCCAAUUCUGGAGGGCCAAUUAUGGCUUCCCAGAAAUUUUUGUAAAUUUUUUAAAAUUCUCCAUCACAUCAAAUCUUAUGACAUAUGCAUAGAGCAUUAAAUAUAGAUAAAAAAACUAAUUGCCUAAUUUAUCUAUAAUUUACAAGAUGAGUAUUUUAAAUCUAGUUAGUCUAUGAUUGAACAAUACUUGUCAAAUACAAACAAAAAUAUUAUUAUAUCUAUUUUAUAAAAAAAAAAUGGAACUAAACAAGACCUAUCUCCACCAUAGCAUAGCAAGGUGGAUUACGUUUUUAGACUUAUAAUAAUACACUGAUGUAGCAGGAAAUGUACAGAUCAAUCAUCGACGCUAAACGCCCAAGCUUUGCCAAAGAAAAACAAAAACUAAGUUUUUUUUAGUAUCGUAGUAUAUUUAUAACUAUAGUAGUUAGUGUACACUCAUAAAUUAAUUAAAUUUAAAAAAUUUAUCUCGCAAAAUAUAUACAAAUUAUACAAUUAGUUAUUUUUAAUCUAUAUUUAGUAUUUCAUGUAUGUGUCUAAAUAUUCGAUGUGAUACAAGAAAUGUUUUUAAACACGAACUAAACGAGGCCUGUAGGGUUCCUUUCGCCACGCAAUCUUUCUGAAGGAUCAAGAUAUUCUCUUUCCUGCUUGAUCAUGCCAAUCAACCAUUGGUCUUUUUCCAUGUUCUUGACCAUUUCCCUAAACAAUCAAAUUAGGCAUGGCAUUCACAAAAGCCAAUUAUAAUAAAAAAACUUAGUAAAGACCCAUACAGAUUCGUGUCUAAUGUCCUUGUUCAUUGUAAUUUCAACCAAACAAUGGUCAUUAGUAAACACGAGAUAUAUGUCAGCGUUAGGCAACACGUUGUCCCACAUGCAUCUUUACAUUCUACACACAACUAACGGGGUAGUAAUAAAGAUAUUAGGCUUCCAUCCCUUAAUUUUAUAGGGAAAAAAUAUAGAUUGAAGCAUAAUGUCCUUGUACCAAAUAAAGAUAUACUCCCUUCAUAUAGGAUUUAGGUAUUAUUUUGAACAAGGUUUGGGUCAAACAUUGAGAAUAUAAAUCAUCAAUAACUUUUAAAUUGUCGAGUUUGCAAAUGCGAAAAUUAUAUGAAUAGAUUUGUCUUGAAAAAUACUUUCAUAAAAGUAUACAUAUAUUUUUUUCCUAAAUAUUUUUAUAAAAAUAAGUUGUGUUUUGGAGACCGUGUUGUUGUCCUAAACAGCAUCUAAAUCCUAUACGGAGGGAGUAUAAAGUUAUGUCGACCUAACCUCCCUAACCAAACAUGAGGUGGGUUUCAUUCCAUCCCAAAAAUCAAGGAUGGAUCCAGCCCAUUAAAAGAUUCUAAUAUGGCUAGAGAAGGGUGAAUAGUCUAUUUAAAAAUUCUACAAACUCACUAGAGCAAGAGGUUAGUAAAUAAUAAAGCGAAGAUUUUUACUCUAGCUCUAAUAGGGUGUUUGCAAGUCACCUAUCUAACAAUGCUAGUUGAUAUGAUCACUAGGCACACAAGAGUUAUGUCACUACAAGCUACACUAGUGAACUAUGCUACACAAGGCAAGACUAGCAACUAAACUAGUUACACUACUUUGCGGUAAGUAAAUGGAGAGGAAGAGAUAUUUAUAUCGCCGUGUAGGGGAUGAACCAAUCACCACUAUAUGAACAAUCAAGCACCAGGAGAAUGUCAAUCAAACACAAUUGAGACACUGAAAGGUCCAAAUGGCUAGAGGGGGGGUGAAUAGCCUAUUUAAUUUUUCUACAAACUUCAACUAGACAAGUUGAUUAGUAAAACAAAUGGCUAAGCAAAACUAGCACUAGCUCAACUAAGCUAUGCAAGCCACCUAAACAAACUAGUACAAGGCCAAACACUAAAGCACAACAACAAGAGAAAGCUAGUUACACUCCUAAAUAAGAAGACUAAACUAAACAAGCUAAACAACUAGCAAGGUAAACAAGUAAGGAAAGGAGUGGAGAGUGAUUGUUAUACCAACAUUGUAGAGUUGAGAUAUAUCUAACCAAUCACUCACAAUCACAAGAGAAUCCUUGGCAAGAGAUGACACAAGAUUUUUUACCGAGGAUCACUUGCUUCCCGGCAAGCUAGUCCUCGUUGUGGCGAUACACUCACUUGAUGGAUCACGUGCUAAUUGGCAAUCCAAAGUCAAACCCUCAGCGGGUGCCGCACAUCCACUCACAAGAUAGGGAUCCUCCAAGCCACGAGCAAUCCACUAGAGUAGCCAAUUGCGAUCUCCCGCGGAGAAGGCUCAAGAACCCCUCACAAAUCACUUGGUGAGGCUCGAAACAAUCUCCAAUCACGAGCUCAACACCACCGCUGCUCCAAGGCGUCUAGGGCAUCGGGAAACACCCAAGAGUAACAAAAAAUCCGCAGCAAACUCAAGAAUCACGUGCCGCUAAAUGCAACUCUCAAAGCAAUGCACUUGAAUCUCACUCAAUCUCACUAGGAUUAGCAAUCAAGCAAGGAGAUAAGUGGAGAGAGUGUUCUCUAGCUCAAUGUAUGUCUCAAGUAAUCAAAUGUGCAAGAGUUUUUCUCCCAAAGCCGGCCACCUUCUAUUUAUAAGCCCCUCAAAGAAACUAGCCGUUGGCUGCUUUCACUGGCUGAAAACGAGGGCACCAGACGCUACCAAGUGAGCACCGGACGCUCGACCCCCUGCGUCUGGUGCUUUGGAGUUAGCCACGUGUCCUUCUUGAAUCACGCGCGAUAGUCUCUAAUGGCUACCUACAAAACACCGGACGCUCUGCAAGUCCACAUCGGACGCGUUCGGUGCACACCGGACUCAUGCGCAGAGAGGGUUGCAAAACCUCCUCACACCGGACGCACACCACCGGACGCACUCAGAGCGCGUCCGGUGCUCAACCCUAGUAGGGUCAAGCACACCGGACUCUGAGGCCAGCGUCCGGUGAGUGUUUCUCAGUGAGAAAACACUCCCGCGACUUCUCCAAAUUUCCCACCGGCGCAAUAGAAAAAAUACACUUAUUUUUCUCAAAAGCGCCGAAUCCCGCCUCGCAAGCUCAGCGGGAGGGAGAGAGGAACCCAAACCCCUCUCAACCCUAGGAACUCCACCUCCUUUGAAAAUGUGCUAACACCAACAAGUGUCCACCACCAAAGUGCAUGUGUGUUAGCUUUUCACAAACAUUUUCACCCAAAGGAGUUAAGUUAGCACUUUACUAGAUCCUAAUGCAUAUGCUCAAGAUGUAGACCUAGUAGCACUUGAUUCGAGAGAUGACCGUGAUUUUCCCUCUUGAUAGUCGGCUAUCUAUCUUAAACCCGGUCAAUCACUUCUCUACUCAUCUUAGACCGGCAAAAGUAAAACCCUAUGUUUAUACCUUUGCCUUGAUAAUUUUGCUCCUCGUUUGUCACCAUGAUCUUCACUUCAUGCUUUAUCCCUUUGUGAUCAUAUGGCCACCUUCCAUGCCACCUUGCACCUUCAUCACAUGUGUUGCUAUGCUAACUCAAAUCACUUAAAUACAAGGCAUUAGCAACUUGGUGUCAUUAAUUACCAAAACCAAACUUGGGCUUCCAGACACCAAUUUUUCUCUCGAGGUUCACAUGCUUGCUGGCACGCUACGUCCCCGUUGUGUUGACCAAUACUUGAUGGUUCGGCGGCUAAGAGGUGGCGAACCUCAUCCUCACUAGGACACCACAAGAACCUACCCACAAGUGAAGUAGCUCAAUGACACGAGCAAAUCCACUAGAGUUACCUUUCGACUCUCCGCCGGAGAAGGUACGAAACCUCUCACAAUCAUCGAGAGAUGGCCACGAAUAAUCACCAACUCGUGUCAAUGCUCCUCCCUUGCUCCAAGCCGUCUAGGUGGCUGCAACCACCAAGAGUAACGAGAAAUCCGCAGCCAAAUCGAUCCCUAAGUGCCACUAGAUGCAAUCACUCAAGCAAAUGCACUUGGAAUCACUCCCAAUCUCACAAAGAUGGUUAAUUUAUGAAGGAGAUGAGUGGAAGGUGUUUGCUUAGGCUCAUAAGGAUGUCAAAUAUUCAAGAAUGGCAAGAGGGUGAGCCCCAAGCCGACCAACAACUAUUUAUAAGCCCCUCAAACAAAUAGAGUCGUUGGCUCUUCCACUGGGCAAAACACGGGACCACCGGACACUCAAACAGGAGCCACCGGACGCUCAACACCUGCAUCUGGUGCUUAGAACACAGCCACGAGUCCAUGAUCUGAAUCUCACGCGUUCAUCUAUAACGAUCAUAUUCAAUCACUGGGCGCAGUCAAGUAGACAUCGGACGUGUCCGGUACUCAUCGAACACGUGUGCAGAGAGUUUGUCAAACGCACAGGAUCACCAGACGCACACCACCGGACGCGCUCUGAGCAUCCGGUCCCUUACCCAGAGAGCGCUGCAAAUGCGCAAGGACACUGGACUCACACCACCGGACUCUCGCUGAGCGUCCAGUGGCCUCAGUCAAAAGCACCUGCUGAAGUCAGGUAACACCGGACGCGCCAACAGUCUCUGCCAGCGUUCGAUGCUUAGCUUCUGGUGCUCCCUUCACCUCUGCUAGAAACGAGAGUUCACUAGACAUGCAGGACCAGUGUUCGGUACCUCCGAGGCUAGUGUCCGGUGAGUGUUUGAAAAACACUCCUGUGACUUCUCUAAACUUUCCACUGACGCAAUAGAAAAUAUACAUUUCAUUUUCUCAAAAACGCCGAAUCCCGCCAAGCUUGGAAACCCAAACCCCUCUCUACCCUUCAAACUCCACCUUCUUCUUAAAGUGUGCCAACACUACCAUGUGUGUACCAACAUGUGUAAGGGUGUUAGCAUUUUCACAAACAUUUUCUUCGAAGGAGUUAAGUUAGCUUACUAGGUUCUAAAUGCAUACACAUGAACAAUGACACCUAGUGGCACUCGAUAACCGCUUAGCCAAAGAAUUGCCCUCUUUAUAGUACACCUAUCUAUCCUAAAUGUGAUCACACCUUCUAUGGUGUCUUGACCGUCAAAACUAAAACCCUAAGCAAUAUCUUUGCCUUGAUCUCCAUAGGGUUUUGUUUUUCUCUUUUUUCUUUUUCAAGUUGAGCACUUGAUCAUCUUGUGGUCAUCACCACCAUCACCAUGAUCAUCACUUGCUCCAUCAGUCGGCAUGUAUCAACCUCAUUAAGUCUACACACACUUAGUAUAGAGGUUAGUACUAGGGGUUCAUCAAUUGUCCAAAACCAAACUAGAACUUUCACCCAUUCCCGGAAGUCGGUUAGGCCAGUCUCAAUAGAGUUUUAUGCACAUUAAAUAUGCUGAUGUGAUAUUGUAUUAAUGAAGAAAAAUAUGAUAAAAGUUUCAGAGGACUAGAGAGAAUUUUAUAUUCAUAAAACUCUUUUGCACUGUGGGGCGGGGGGAGGGGGGGGGGAGUUGCAGAAACUAUGAGGAGACUUUUGCAAAAAUAAAUAGGCUGGUGGACCAUAAAUCCUAAAGUUGAUUUAUUUUUAGAUGAAUUUUUUGAGUUAGGAAUCUACUCCAUUUAAGAGAGAGUAACGCUUCCCUUCUUUUUUUAGGACGCUUCCCCAUUUCAGUGGAACUUUGGAUAAUUACUUCGCGCGUGUAUGAAUACAUGCAGUCGGCAACGGUGUGCUUUAUUUCAAUGAAAGUUGACAUUUACUACACGCAUCUUGGUAUUUGUAGUAUCUUUUCAAAUGUCUUAGGUUAAUUUCAAUGAAAGUUAAAGAACGAAAAUUUUAAAUAUAUUAAAAAAUAUUUUAUAUUCAAAAUAUAUUAUUGUGAGAAUAUAUUAUUUAUGUUCAAAAUAAUAUAUUUUUUAUUUUAUGAAAUCAUGAAAACGUUAAAACAAUAUGUGACAUUGCUUCAAAUCUAAAAUAGACAAACUGAACUGUGUAUUUAAUCAUUUUUUGUUAGGGGUAAAAUAGUCAUUUUGUUUUCACUUAACAUCAUUAAGUGCCUAAGCUAACGAAAAUUUAGCUUUUAGGCCUCAUAGGUAAGUUCAAAGAAAAACAGCAUAGCAUGAUGCAUUGAAAUGUACGUUCGGUUAACUAGUAGUACGUCAUCUUUGAUGAGUUGAGGAAAAAAUUGUUCAGUACAUGAAAAAUUCUAGUUUUGGCUACUAUAACACUUUUGGUUAUAUUUGGUAAUUAUUGUCCAAUCAUAGAAGCUCAAAAAAUUCGUCUCAUAAAUUACAAGUAAACUAUAUAUUUAGUUAUUUUUUUAUCUAUAUUAAUGCAUUAGUUAUUUUUUAAUGUAUAUUUAAUGCUUUAUGCAUGCAUCCAAAGAUUCAAUAUGACGGGGAACCUUUAAAUUUUCUGGAAACUGAACAAGUCCUUAUAAUGGGCAGUGCAAGAAGAAAUAACCAAGCCUCUAGAUAAUGUGCUCAAGUUAAAUUACUCGAUGUUGAUGGAUCCUUUCGGCUAAAUGAGAAGGCCAGGAGCUGGGGCUUCCAACGUGAUAGUGAUGGACCAUUUGGGCCGGUUUGAUGUAAGCACUAUUGGUCCAUGGGCUGGACUGCAGGUUACUAGCUAGUUGGGCUUUGUACUAAGAAAUUGAUGAACAAUGUUCACGAGCCCAGGCCCAGGUUUGCAGAAUCUUCCUUUUUGCUUUCUCCCAUUCCACGGCCCAUGGCGACUGUAGUCAGGCAGUCAUAUAGGUCAGUUUCCUCCUACAAUAAUACUAUACUUACACAUAUACUAUUUGAGACUUAUAUAUAUAGAAAAAAUGGAGAAAAAACUAGACAUGAAUGAGGAAAUUUGUACAAGUAAAAAAUGCACGUACUGGAUAGGUACCACAUUUUUUUUCAUUUCUGGAUCGGAGCAUAUAUAUAUGUAUGUACAACAUUUCAGUGCAGGCCACUAUUUAUACUUUGGUAGCAGGGCUCAAAGAGCUAACAGUUCAAUGAUAACCAACACAUGUAUGAAUUGGAGAGAUGAAAGUAAGUUGUACAUGAAUACGUAGUACAAUAAGUUGGAAGGUGAAAUAUAUGUAUAUGAUCAUUAUAUAUCAAAUUCAAAUAAUGUUGUAUAUACAUAUACCACAAAUCAAUAUAUCAAAUUCGAAUAAUGCCUCACAUUAUGUUGGAGCAGGUUGAAAUUCAUAUCAAACUGACCAUACAUACAACGCCUCACAUGACUUGAUCGACGACUAUUCUAACUUGUUCUCACUGAAUGCGUAUUUUUAUAUUAUGCCAACCAAGUCUAGCCAACCACGACGUACGACUGUAGGCAGUCAUAUAUAGAAAAAAAGGGAGAAAAACCUAGACAUUAAAACGCACUGGAUAGGUACCAUAUUUUUCAUUUCUGGAUCGGAGCAUGUAUAUAUGUACAACAUUUCACUGCAGGCCACUAUUUACACUAGGUAGCGCGCAGGGCUCAAAGAGCACUCCGAUGAUAACCAACGUAUGGGAGAGAUGAAUGUAAGUUGUACAUGGGUUGUACUAUAAGUUGAAGGUCAAAUAUGUAUAUGAUCAAUAUAUGUAUCAAAUUCAAAUAAUGUUGAUAUAACACAAAUAUCUAUACAUUGACAAAAAAACAUAAUCAUAUCGACAUGACAAGGUUUUUUAAUUCACAAAAAAAUAUAUGUCAAAAAUAUUGAACUAGUUAUAGAGGCAAGUAGGCAACAGGCAUGGAUUAGGAUUAUAAAUAUUAUGACUUAUAUAUGAGAAGCUAAAAUAGUAGCUUCUACCAUUUUGGCAUUUUGGGGGUACCUACGACACAGAAAGCCAAAUUAACAGGGGAUACAAUGUAUACUCAAAGUUUGUAAUCAUAUAUUCCGAUUGAAUAAAGAAUACAAUUAAUUCAAUGACGAGAUCACGAGAAUUAAAUACAAAAAUGGAGUGGUUAGUUUGAGUUUGAAUCUUUAGGGAUGUAAACAAAUAAUUAAAACAUAAGAUGAUCGACUAAUGUGAACAAUGAGAAAUAGUAGAUGAUCGAAUUUAUCAAAUGAGAGAUAUAUGAGGGCCCAUAGAAGGCCUCAAUGCAAAUGACCUGACUGGUAUGCUUAUUAUUCUCACUGAAUGACUGGAUGCACAUUUUUAUGUACUAGUGUGGACUGUAGACAAACAUAAGACUGCAGGCAGUCAUAUACAGAUCAGCUUCCUUACAGAGAGUAAAUUGUACAUGAGUAGUAAUAAACAUCGAAGGUCAAAUAUGCAUAUAUAUGAUCAAUACAUAAUAAUUAAAUUCAAAUAAUUGUGUUUAUACAUUUAUAUAUAAUCAUAUCAACAUAAUAACAUCCUCAAUGACAAUGUUUUUUAAUUAACAAAAACUAAGAUUUAUAUGUUAAAAACAUUAAACUAUAGGCAGGCAUGCAUCAGACAUUGCUAUGAGAAGCUCAGAUAGGUCCUAGUAUAUAUACCAUUUUGGGGGCACAGGACAUCUGCAGCCGACUGAAAUGAAAGCCUAACUGACAGGGAUCCAAAUAUACACUCAACUUUGUAAUUAAUCUGAUUGAAUGGACUACAAUCAUCAAUAGUUCUGUAUGUGAUGAAUGAAAUAUAACGAAAUGGAGUGGUUAGUUUGAGUUUGGAUAUUAAUCUUAGGGCUGUCAAAAAUUGAAACAUGUGGUCGCAUCUAGCUAGCCGUGCGCGCGAGUGCACGAAACGGCCGGCGAUGAUACUGCACUAAUUAAUGUGAGCAAUGAGAAAUGCUAGACAUAUCGAUCAAAUAUAUGUGUGUGUGUGUGUGUGUGUGUGUGAGAGAGAGAGAGAGAGAGAGAGAGAGAGAGAGAGAGAGAGAGAGAGAGAGCGAGAGAGAGAGAUGUAUGAGGGCCAUGCUUGGCACCUCGCACGCCAGCCGCAGCGGCCACCGAGAUCGAUCGAUGAUCUUGGGGUGGUAGCCGUGCGAGUGGCAUACAGGGAGCCAGGCAUAUUCCCUAGCUUUCACCUCUUCCUCCACCUCCAUGUCCUGUGCCGCGCGCCAUUGCUUGCUUGCUUAUACACCUUCCAAUAAUGUGCCAUGGCAUACAAGCGCCCUCAUAUUCUUUGUUUCCUCUAGCUCCCCUUGCAAGCUCAUAUGGCGCACACACGCAUAUCUGAACUAGAACUACACACGGCGAGGGAGAGAUCGAAUAAUGGAAAAUGGAGACUAGCUAGCUCGCUUAGAGGAAGACGAUGAAGCUUGUUGAGGCUGUUGAGUGAUGGUGUUGUUUGGCAAGAAGUUGCAUAUAUAUAUAUAGCUCCCGGCCCCAGGGUGGAGGUGAGGUCCCCCAACAUGCAUGCAUACCCUGC